Molecule: non-coding RNA, 432 nt
Organism: Solanum lycopersicum (tomato)
Lineage: Eukaryota; Viridiplantae; Streptophyta; Magnoliopsida; Solanales; Solanaceae
Source: RefSeq, a predicted model, not a curated record
GUCUCCAAACGGCACAUUCGUACACCUGCAACAAUUUCCCCCUUUCACUGUUGUCUCGAAAAGGGCAUUGCAAUUCAAAAAUCUAGCCGUUUCCCCCCUCAGAAAUCAGUCUAUUUAAGGAGAGGAGGACUAAGGCAUUUUGGAGCACAAUUAUUACUUACUAACUAAAACUUUCCGGAGAUUUGGCUGGCCGGAAAAAGCUCUUCUUUUUUUUCAGUUCAGCAAUUUCCGCAACUGAUGUGAUUGCUGAGAUAAAUCCAAAGUGGACGCAAAGCAAGCACUUUGGAGUCCCAGGUGAACGAAAAUUUCUUCAAACUAGUGAAUUCAAGCCGAGCCCCAUUGCAUGUGAUAAACACAUCUUCCGCAACGUACUUGCUGAGAUAACAAAUAUGUCAAUUAACAAUUCUUUAAUGUAAAAUCUUUACUCAAAUG